UGGCACAUAUCUCAAAUGCCGCAGAACCGCCUGGGAUCUCUGGAAUGUAUACUUCAUCAUUGUGCUCCCCAGUGCCCGCAGUGACCAACUGCUGCAAGUGAGCACUCUUUGACAGAAGGGGAAACUGCAAAAAAGCAGGAGCAAUCAAAUUAAGUGGCACACCUUGUGGAGGUAAAACUUGACAUCCCCAACGAUAACAGUGAUGUCCGUAGCUAAUUCACUGACAACAUACCUGCAACAUAAAUGUGAAUUCUUUUAAUAAAAUAAUGAGAAAGUUGUCUGAUUGUUUCAUUUGAGUAUCACUUCCCUAUUAACUCUGAUUUCUACCAUAUAAGAUUCAAAUGUUAAUUCUAAAAUUUUAGUGCAACGGGCAACGCCCACACUUUGUUUAAGCUUUAAAAACGUGCUAGUAAUAGGUAGCAGUAGAUUUCAUCCAAAUCCAAAAGAAGAAACUACUAUACAUCAGAGUGAACCAUCCAUCCACUACAGAAAAUUCUCGUGCAAUGAAGCUUUAAAAAGAAGUGAAGAAAGGUGUAUGUAGACAAUUGUACCAAAGAACAUGCACAACCAUUAUUCAACAUUCCAUUGUGGCAAGAUUCUUAUUGUUCCCAUAAGAGACAGAGAAAAAAAGGUGAUUCUUGAGUUAAAAGAACAUUCAAUACCAUCUUGGUUAAAAUGUGGAAUCUCCCUACUACUAAAUUCAUGCUCUUGACCCAUUCGAGGCACAGCAUAUAAAUAUGCUAUUUCGCUCACGAUUCCAGGUCUUUUUCAAAGCAUCUUUCUAAUGUGUGGUCAUUCAACCGAGUUCAAAGUCGUUCGAACUUAAUUCCAUCGUAUGUGAUGCGAUCCCUUCCCCAAAGAAUGAUAAGCAAUAGCUUCAUAGUUUGGUAAGCAACUUUCUAAUUCUACUUGGAAACUUGAUGUACAUGUAAUAAACAUUUGAGCAUUAAUGAGCUAUGUAGCUCUCUCAAAUGUAAUCAGGUAUCUCAAUUCUCUAUGUUCUCUUUCCGACGUGUGUAUAAACUGAUGAAGCAGUCGAAAAACAUAACUAUAAUCUAUGAACUGUUUUACCCGGGUUUGGUAAGAA
Cucumis sativus (cucumber) is the source of this 1087-nucleotide long non-coding RNA. RefSeq lists it as uncharacterized. NCBI's taxonomy places the organism in Eukaryota, Viridiplantae, Streptophyta, Magnoliopsida, Cucurbitales, Cucurbitaceae. The transcript has 2 exons. The record is from RefSeq and is a predicted model, not a curated record.